GAGAAAUCAGAUUACACCUGGAUUUCUCCCCCAUAUUCUGAGGUCUUCCUGCAUGUAUUCAGAUUACACUGAUUUAUUUCAUGUCUUACCUCUCCACAUGUGUGAAAAUACUAGACUAAAU
Molecule: long non-coding RNA, 121 nt
Organism: Sphaeramia orbicularis (orbiculate cardinalfish)
Lineage: Eukaryota; Metazoa; Chordata; Actinopteri; Kurtiformes; Apogonidae
Exons: 3
Source: RefSeq, a predicted model, not a curated record